UCUGGAGCACACGAUAAUUCGAAUAUAUUUCCGAAUUCUUCUUCGAAUUUUUUUUAUCAAAUCCUUUAUAGCAUAGAAAUUAAGAUAUUUUUUUAAAGCUUUUUUUAGCUUAGCAUUCGAAGCAGCAUUUAAACAUCGUGCCAAAAAAAAUCGAAAAACAAAAGAAAGAAGAAAAAUCAUAGUUCUUCUUCGAUUUUGAAAGUAUAAAAAUUUCUACGGGGUCCACAUUAUGUCAAUGAAAAAGAAAUUAUACAACUGUUUAGAGAACGUUAUAAAUUGCUCGACAAUGUUUCAGUGAAUUGUGUUCGCGAAUUAUCUUUAAUGCCUUUAAGAACGUCCUGAGUCCUGGAAUAUAUUCCAUGUUACAAUGUGUUGUCAAUAGCAAUAGAAUUGAUUCAAUUCUCGUUUUUGAUACUUUUUAUGUAACAAUUGUUCGAUAAUAUCAAGUAUGGAUCACAAGAAAACAAAAGCGAAAUUUGACACAAAGAAAUAUUUGUUAUGUUUAAUAUUUUAAAAAGUAUAUAAUAUAUAGGUUAUAAAAUACUUCAUAAUAACGAUUUGUCGUUCUCAAUGCAAGUAGAGAAUCGCAUCGUAUUUACAGGUAAAAGCAAAUAAAAAAAAAUAAAGCUAUCGUCAAAUGAUUCAUAUAUGCUCUUUUAGAAUUUCAAGAGCAAUCGUUUUUAUUUUUUCUUUUCCAAUAUAUAUAAAUCCAACAUGAUUAUACUAUAAUAUAGUAUACGUAUUCGUAUCGUUAUUGUACCGUGCAAUUCGAAUGAUAUUUGACGAGUUAUAUCUGAUAUAAAUAUAUUCGUCAAGACGCGACAAUAGUAACACUAAUUAAACAUAUAUAUUCGAGCAUCGAAGAAAUAUAUAAGUAUACAUAUUGACAGACUCUUUCUAUGGUUUUUCGAGCGUGAAUAUAAUAGAGGAGAAGGUUGUAACAGAAGAAAGAAUUUAUAUAGAUUAUUAUAUCUGUACUUUAUUGUGUCAUAGUAGACGUGUUUCUUGCGGCCACGUCCAUCGAUGGAAUAAACAUUGACGUAAAUAAAUAAAACAGAUAUAGAAAAUAUAAUGGUACUUUGGUAAA
This 1087-nucleotide long non-coding RNA is filed under the name Apis florea (little honeybee). Its description in RNAcentral is "uncharacterized LOC116414456, transcript variant X3". Lineage: Eukaryota; Metazoa; Arthropoda; Insecta; Hymenoptera; Apidae. The record is from RNAcentral.